UUUUAUUUUGUUUUCUUGGAAACCAAGUUGAGUAAUUAUGAUUGCUAUUAUUUGAUGAUGAAAUACACAUUUGAAACUAUAUUUGCUCACAAUCAAUAUAAUAUUAGUAUACCCCAAUAACUAAUUCUUAUGACAUCAAUCCAUCUAUCCAUCUUCAAAACUUACAAAAAUAAUAUACAAUCCUCAACCCAUAUACUUUCAAAUCCUAAGCUGUCUAAGAACUCAAAUGGUUCUAUGCCAAAGUAUAGACCUAUACUAUUUGAAAUUUCUUCUUUCUUUACACUACCAUGCAUUAUCCUUGUUCCUACAAAUGGUUGGAACAGCAAGAAAUAGUGUGAAGAGAUCCUGAAUCCAUGAAACUUCAUCCAUUAGUGAGUUCUUCAUGGCCUUGUCCUAGUCAUCAGGCCACAAAGUCUGGCAGCAGUUGUGCUGCAAACCUCUUUCGGUUCUGAAUGUUGAUGCUGUCGUAUGCAGUGGAAGAAUGAGGUGUCGAUGUGCUAAUGCCUCCAAACUCAUUCAGUUCGCCAAUUUCUACUCUUCUUCCCAAUUGAAUGUUCUGGUUGGGAAGAAAACUUUGGUGGGUGCCUGAUAAGGAGAGAUUUUCACAGUGGGGAAGACCAAGAGUGAGAGAAACGGCAUUACCAGAAAACCUUGGUGUGAACUGUUCUGUAUCAAACCUUCCAAGUUCUCCAAUUGGGUAUUGCCCGAAACCUCCAAUGAAGUUGGUCUGGCCCCCAAUGAAUGAGUAGCCAUCCCUACUCUGCCUCUCAUUGCCAAACUUCAUUGAAACCUGCUCGUUUGUCUCGCCAGGCUUCACAUCCAUGUUUAUGGAGGGGACACCAGUUGGGGAUUGGAUCAAUUCCGUGCUUCUAGGCCUCUUUGGACUUCCUCGUGUGAUCCCUUCCAAUUCUGAUGACCCUAUGAAGGAGAAUCCGGAGUGGUUUCGUACAUUUCCUGCCACAGGGGAUGUUGAAGCUGUAGAUAUUGAAAUUGCAGGAGCAUUCUGGUUUAGAGAACUGUUCAAGGACUUGAAACUUUUAGUCUGAUUCUCAUUAACUGAACCCUUCUCUUGAAGAACAGAUCUCGAAGCUGAAUUUUCGUUCUGUUCGCUUUUGCUUGUUUUGUCCUCUGAUCCGUUCCUUUCUUGCUCCUUAAUUUCCUCCAUGUACAUCUCUUCUACCAUUGGCUUCCAAAGCCGAACUCUAGCAUUUAUAAACCAAUUAGACACCUGGCUCCUAGUGAGCCCUGUCUGUUUGGCUAGCAUAUGCUUAUCAGAAUCUUUAGGAUAAGGAUGCAGAAAGUGCUCGAAGAGCCAGGCACGAAGGACCGAAACUGAUCUUUCAGGCAAUCCUCUCUGGGGUCUCCAAGCAUUGUGCUGGAUCAUUCCCAACUGUUGAAGUGCUCGUUGUUGUCGAAGGUGAUGAUCGACGAAUUUGAGCCUUGAACCCUCAAGCUUUCCUCCAAGGCAAUCUUCUUCGCCUAGGCUCUUGUUUGCAGCUUUGAUUUGACCUGUUAUUGCAUCUUUUAAGCAUCGGAACUGCUUCGAGAUGGUUUGCAGUGCAAGAGCAGUGUAUGUCUUCGCAGAACCAAUUCCUGCGGCUUGCUCAAAUGACGAAAUCACUAUCUGCAUCUGGUGGUGGUACUGCCUGUACCUUUGCUCCACCUUCAAUUUAACAAGAAAUGAACCAACAAUAAGUGUUGAUCUCUCUCUGAUCUAAUCUCAUGAAAAUUCAACAUCAUUUUGUUCAAUUUUCUUCUUUUAAAGCCUAAUAUUUGUUUGGAGGCGAAAAUCCGAACUAAUAUAACAGAUUAAUGGCUCUUCCAAUUCAAGAGUGAAUUAUGAGUUGACACUUGAAAUCAUUCUAGAACUUGGAGAAGCUAUGAAAAGAUCAAAACAUUGAAAUUAUGGACCCAAUUCCUUUUCAUGGAUCUCUUCAAAUGAUAGAAACCAAUUUCUCAAAAUUCCUCAUCCUCUCGGCUUAAUUUUCACAAGAAACUACUAUAGAGAAAACCUCAUCACGCCGCAAAACAAACACACAAUUGAAUUGAUCAUCCUUGGUUAAAUAAAUAAAUAUAUUAAAAACCACAUACCUCAUCAAGCAUGCUGAUAAGCUUGGCCUUCUUCAUCUGAAUUUCUUGCCUCUCCGCCGUGGUAAGCUCUGCUCCGCGCUUCCCACCGGCAUCGCCACCAGCUGAGCCAUCUCCGCCUGAUGAUUCUCCAAUCACCUUGUUGCUAUUAUUACCGCUAAUCCCAUUACCCUUCUUGGACAAUUCAGUCUUAAUCCCAUUAUUAUUCACAUUAACAACCUCAUCAAGGAGCUCCUGAGCAGCCUUCAAGUACUUGGAGCUCAACAACACCCCUUGAAUACCAGACACCCCAUUAUUAGUCACCCCUGAACCUGAGGAUGCUGACCCACCAGAGACCCUAAUAUCUUCACCUGACACCGCUUGAGCCUGUGACCCAUAACCCGGUUGCUGCUGUGACGAAAGGCUCAAAGAGAGUCCUUGCUGAGCGCGUGGAGUUUCACGCGCAGCCGUGGAAGGGUCAACUGGGUUGUAGAGAUUGUAAUGAAUCCUCGGAAUAAGUCCAUGCAAAGUAGAAGUGUCAUGGGAGUUAGGGUCCAAAGGUAUGCCGACAAAUUGCUGGGCGUUGGGAUGCGCGUGAGAGAGGUGCGGUGGAGGAGAAAGGUUGUUAGCGGCGGAGUUGAGGAAGAGGAGGUUGUUGGAAGACGGUGGCGGUGGAGUAUCGGAGUAUUGGACAUAAGUAGGGUUCAUGAGGACGAGGGUUUGAAGUCCUUCUGCUGAAGCUGAAGCUGCAGCUGCUGCUUGGAUUUCCGGAUUCCCAUGAAAGUACGUCGCCAUCGGAUUUGUUUUCUUGGGAAAAUUAUAGACUUUUUCUCUGGACUUGCGAUAGUGUGGAUGCGUUGAUCAACCCAUCAAAGAAAGAGUUGAAAUCGAUGGGAAUACUCUUACAGGAGGAAACUCUGAUAUUCUGUUUUCAGUGAAAGCCUGUUGUGAUGGAAAUCUGAGUGUGCACGUGCUUCAUGAUCAUCUCAUCUGCACUGUCUAUAUGUAUGAAUCAUGAAUAAAUCUAUGGGAUUUGGAUGAUCAGUCUCUUCACACAAGGGAAAGCCCUUUGUCAGACUAAAAUCUCUGCAACUCUCUUACUGAAAAGGAAAAAGAGAAGUAAAGAGAAAGACUUGGUUAAAAAGGCUGAGAAAAAGAUACCCAUCUUUAUUCUCUAAUUAUCCAUACCAUUUAUUUUUAUAUUUAGCAAUCAAGAUUAAUCACAAACCUAUUUUCCAAAAUUAAGUUUCUCUCUUUUUUUUUUCAUAUUUUUGGGCUGAUUUAUGAGUAACUCAUCAGAAAUUAUGUAUGUUGCUUCUUUUUUCUUUCUCUUUUAAUGGGUUUUGAGUGAGGUAC
Molecule: unclassified non-coding RNA, 3423 nt
Filed under: Hevea brasiliensis (rubber tree)
Lineage: Eukaryota; Viridiplantae; Streptophyta; Magnoliopsida; Malpighiales; Euphorbiaceae
Source: RNAcentral